Biomphalaria glabrata is the source of this 1727-nucleotide RNA transcript. It is a transcript of the gene named catalase-like, with no coding region annotated. NCBI's taxonomy places the organism in Eukaryota, Metazoa, Mollusca, Gastropoda, Planorbidae. The record is from RefSeq and is a predicted model, not a curated record. The transcript is spliced from 5 exons.
ACUACGUAGUCUUGUAACGGAUGUGUGUCACUCAGAGUAUAAAUUGAGCUGUUGUAGAAUGUAGAUUUCAUUAUAAAUCUCUUAAUAUGUGAAUUUCAAACAUUAAAGAAUGGUAGAGAUUGAGUCCGACAAUAGCAUCUAGAUCUAUAGUCUAAUGGUGCCCCUAUUUACUUUCCUGAUAGUUUUUGGUGGACCAGUUGAUAUCCAGGCUCACUGUGACUCAAUCUUCAGAUGUCCAGUGAUACAAUAGUUGAAUAGUCACGAUGAUAACAAUUUUACCCAAGUUGGAAACUUUGGGAGAAAGCAGAUGACUAUUCAUUGCACUUUAUUAAUGGAGCCCAGCCACUGGUAGACGUGUAAAUUCUCUUGACUGCGAUCUUGGAAUUAGUUUCUGUCUACUGAUGAGAGGACCAGACUGGUAGAGAACAUUGUAGGCCACCUGAUGGAAGCCCAAGAUUUCAUUCAAAAGAGACCAGUCCAAAACUUUUCUAAGGUUGACGCUGAGUUUGGACAGCGGGUCAUGGAUGGACGCAGCCUUGGAAAGCCAGGAAAGGACAAAACUGGUGCCAACUUGUAGAAGACUAGAAAGUUUAAGAAGUCGUCAACUUGACCAACAAAUGAAGGGGAAAAAAUAUGUUUCGUUAUCAUAAUUCUUACCUAUUUGAAAUUUUAUCUGUUGCUACAAAUUUGUGUAACUACAUACUUGUGUUAUGGUGAUUAUAUUGUUAUUUUUGCAUAAAGUGCUUUUGUUUUGUAUUUUGAGAUGUCUAAACAUGUAGUCUGAUUUUCAGGUGUUAAAUAAUAAUUAAGAUUUUUUUCCCUGUCCUAUCAGUAUUCAUGUUUCAGGCUUACCUUAUUUCUUCUUAUUAUCAGUACAUUUGUUUAACUUGAAAGCUCUCAGCAGACAGGGUAUUUCUGUGACUCUCUUUUAUACAUUUGUUGGAUGAGGAUGUGUUUCUGGUGGUGUGAUAUUCCUUUUGGACUGUCAUCACGAAAGUCUGGUGGUGUGGUAUUCCUUUUUGUCCUGCAGUUAAGGCAAGGACGUAACAAUCAUUCUUUUGUGAAUGAGCAUCUGAAAUGUAUAAAAUAAAACUGAUCAUAACAUGGGCAUUAAAAAAAAUUAAUGUUAGGGAGUUAUUCUCAGUUAAUUAAACUAGAUUUUUAAGUACAUUUUUUUUUGUCUAUUAACCUUCCUGGCAAGUUUACUUCUGUUCUUUAUAGGAACAGGAUUUUUCCUGACGACAUUGCUCCAGAAGAUUUGUAUUCAAUGAAACUGAUUGAUUCUACUAUUUUUCUUCUUUCUUUUAUCUAAAGCUUUGUUUUAAAUUGCUUUUGAAUUAAGUCCUAGAGAUAUCACAAAUAUAGUUUUUUUAGUGUUUGGUUUAUGUUUAAGGUUUUUUUAAACCUGACGGAUGAUAUGAUGAUGUCAUGUGAAGGGAGCCAGUGGUCUAAAGUUUUGGCUAUGGGUGCAUGCAUGAAUCUCAAUGGGUUGUAGUCUCAGCCAUGAUGGCUUAUAUUUGACUUAAAAUAAAACCCUUACAGUAUCAUGUACUGGUGCUAACAAGCUUGUAAUGUGCUAGAUUUGGAUGUGUUACUCUUACACAUGUGUAUUUGAACAGUGAUGUUACCAAGUACAUAUCCAGUGGUGAGUGAUAAAGAAUUUAUAUCAACAUAUAAGAUACUUAGAACUUUUGUUGGAAAUAAAAUCAUCUCUGUUAAUAAUGUAA